RNAcentral lists this ribosomal RNA (481 nucleotides) under uncultured bacterium. Its description in RNAcentral is "bacterial SSU rRNA". It matches the Rfam family "Bacterial small subunit ribosomal RNA", at positions 25 to 507 of the family's 1533-position model. The record is from RNAcentral.
CAGGACGAACGCUGGCGGCGUGCCUAACACAUGCAAGUCGAGCGAGAAGCUUAUGAACGAGCCUUCGGGCGAGUGAUUAAGUGGAAAGCGGCGGACGGGUGAGUAACGCGUGAGUAAUCUGCCUUAAGGAGGGGGAUAACACAGAGAAAUCUGUGCUAAUACCGCAUAACAUAUAUCUUUCGCAUGUUAGAUAUAUCAAAACUCCGGUGCCUUAAGAUGAGCUCGCGUCCGAUUAACUAGUUGGUGAGGUAAUGGCUCACCAAGGUUACGAUCGGUAGCCGGACUGAGAGGUUGAACGGCCACAUUGGAACUGAGACACGGUCCAGACUCCUACGGGAGGCAGCAGUGGGGGAUAUUGCGCAAUGGGGGAAACCCUGACGCAGCAACGCCGCGUGAAGGAAGAAGGUCUUCGGAUUGUAAACUUUUGUCUUUUGGGAAGAUAAUGACGGUACCAAAGGAGGAAGCCACGGCUAACUACGUG